Molecule: ribosomal RNA, 392 nt
Filed under: uncultured bacterium
Lineage: Bacteria
Description: partial 16S ribosomal RNA
Rfam family: Bacterial small subunit ribosomal RNA
Source: RNAcentral
AUACGGAGGAUCCGAGCGUUAUCCGGAUUUAUUGGGUUUAAAGGGAGCGUAGAUGGGUUGUUAAGUCAGUUGUGAAAGUUUGCGGCUCAACCGUAAAAUUGCAAUUGAUACUGGCAGCCUUGAGUACAGUUGAGGUAGGCGGAAUUCGUGGUGUAGUGGUGAAAUGCUUAGAUAUCACGAAGAACUCCGAUUGCGAAGGCAGCCUACUAAACUGCCACUGACAUUGAUGCUCGAAAGUGUGGGUAUCAAACAGGAUUAGAUACCCUGGUAGUCCACACGGUAAACGAUGAAUACUCGCUGUUUGCGAUAUACAGCAAGCGGCCAAGCGAAAGCGUUAAGUAUUCCACCUGGGGAGUACGCCGGCAACGGUGAAACUCAAAUGAAUUGACGGG